UGGGGAAUAUUGCACAAUGGAGGGAACUCUGAUGCAGCGACGCCGCGUGAACGAAGAAGGCUUUCGAGUCGUAAAGUUCUUUUAUAUGGGAAGAUAAUGACGGUACCAUAAGAAAAAGCCCCGGCUAACUAUGUGCCAGCAGCCGCGGUAAUACGUAGGGGGCUAGCGUUGUCCGGAAUCACUGGGCGUAAAGGGUUCGCAGGCGGGAAUGAAAGUCAGGUGUAAAAGGCAGUAGCUUAACUACUGUAAGCAUUUGAAACUACAUAUCAUGAGAAGAGUAGGGGUAAGUGGAAUUUUUAGUGUAGCGGUGAAAUGCGUAAAUAUUAAAAAGAAUACCGGUGGCGAAGACGACUUACUGGGCACAUACUGACGAUGAGAAACGACAACGUCGGUAGCAAACAGG
Molecule: ribosomal RNA, 403 nt
Filed under: Verrucomicrobiota bacterium
Lineage: Bacteria; Pseudomonadati; Verrucomicrobiota
Description: Verrucomicrobia bacterium partial 16S ribosomal RNA
Rfam family: Bacterial small subunit ribosomal RNA
Source: RNAcentral